RNA transcript from Salvia splendens (bonfire salvia), 2316 nucleotides. It is a transcript of the gene named B3 domain-containing protein Os03g0120900, with no coding region annotated. The transcript is spliced from 3 exons. The record is from RefSeq and is a predicted model, not a curated record. Lineage: Eukaryota; Viridiplantae; Streptophyta; Magnoliopsida; Lamiales; Lamiaceae.
AUAAAUUGAAAGAAAAUGGGUAAGCUGUGCAGGUUCUGGGGUGGGCGAGGCACCCCUCCACGAAAAUAACCUGCAUCCAUUAUAUUCACUCACACACCCACAGAUACAUUCAUUCUCAUCUUUCUCUCUCUAAAAUCCUAUCUUUGUUUUUUCUUUAAUUUAUAUUUUCUCCCUUUUCUACUCGCGAGAAAGGUCAACAAGAUAUUAGUAGUGGAAAAAGAAGAAGAAGAAGAAGAGGAGGAGAAACCAUAGAUGAGAAUCGAGACGAGAGUGAUUUUUCCAUCUCUCUAAAUCUCAAUUCCCUUUUCAAUUUCUCCAUCUCCCGAACCCUAAAUCGAUGCAGAUUCCGACUUAAUUCGAGUCGCAAUCGUCAACAUGUCUUUCCACCCGCGGCCAUACAGCAGCUACGGCGAGGCGGAGGAGGCGCGGCGCGGCGGCGGGGAGGGGAGCAGCUCCGGCGCGAUUGCGGUGCAGCGCGAGCACAUGUUCGACAAGGUGGUGACGCCGAGCGACGUGGGGAAGCUGAACCGGCUGGUGAUUCCGAAGCAGCACGCGGAGAAGUACUUCCCCCUCGACUCCUCCGCAAACGAGAAGGGCUUGCUCCUCAACUUCGAGGACCGCAACGGGAAGCCGUGGCGGUUCCGCUACUCCUACUGGAACAGCAGCCAGAGCUACGUCAUGACGAAGGGCUGGUCCAGGUUCGUCAAGGAGAAGAAGCUCGACGCCGGCGACAUCGUCUCCUUCCAGCGCGGCGUCGGCGAGCUCGCCAAGGACCGCCUCUUCAUCGACUGGCGCCGCCGCCCCGACGCCCCGGAUCUCCACGCCUCCUCAAACAUCCCCCACCACUUCUCCUUCCGAGCACUCCACCACCACCCCUGGAGCCCCCUAUUCAUCCCCCAGACGCAGCCCGCGCCGCCGCCGCCGCCGCGGGAGUACCUCCACACGACGACGCACCACCACUACCACCACCCGCCGACGGGGUACGGGCCCUACGCGUACGGAAGUGUGGUGAACGGAAGCCCGUGCCCCCCGGGGUCGAUAGUGUACCUGAGGGGAGGCGCGGCGUUUGGGGCGACGGCGGCGCAGGGGCAGAGGGAGCAGAUGGUGUUCGAGUCGGUGCCGGUGGUCCAGGGAAAAGCUGCAGCAAAGAGACUUAGGCUGUUCGGCGUGAACAUGGACUGUCCUAUCUCUGACUCGGAUGAAUGCGAUAUACUGUCCUCCUCCGCGGCCCACCUGGCGUCGUCGCCCUCCCUCCGCCCGCAGGAUCACGACAAAGGGAAGGGAUCCAUGUCUUUGGAUUUGGAUUUGGAUAUUUAGAUUGCAGAAUUAUCCCUUUUGUCUUAAUUACUACUGUAUCUCUUCUACACCCACAACUACUGCUGCCCUCGCAUCUUUUGGAGAUAAGUUUUACACGAGUCAAGAAGGAAUCUGAAGAGAGAGAGGGAGAGACUGAGAGAAAAUUAAGGUAUGUAUUUAUGUAAGUGAUGGGAAAAUAAAUAUGUGGAGAUAUAUAGUACUUAGAAGAAUUAGCAGUUUGAUUUGAUAGUGAAGGGAGAAGGGAAAUUCAAUACUUCAUCUUAAUGAAAACUUGUAGCUAUAUAAUUGGUGAGUUUGGUCCCUACAUGAGAUGAAAAUUGUAUAUCUAUAUAUAUCAUCAUCUCCACACAUGAUGUUAAAUGGUCAAUUACUUAGAAACCGAUGUUUCCUCUUCGACUUGACAAUAUCAUUUUUCCUCUACCUUGUCAUGUCAAUUGUGGCUGUUGCCCUAUUUUUAUUGUUUCAAGACUGUGCAUUUUCAUUUAGGACAUAAAUCUUUAUGUUAGUUGCGAAAUCAUGCAGCUAGCUGUGGAAAAUUCCACCAUUUUUGGCAUUAAUUAGUUGUAUUUGUAAUUGCUUCCAUUAUUACUGACUGCAUGGAGAGCCUUCCCAUGUAUUUGUGAUUAGAAUUUUUUAUUAUUAUUUCAAUUGUAUAUGAAGGCUCUCUAUUUUGGGAGUGUCAAAUAACAGAAUGCAGGCGUUAAAUUGAUAAUUCUCGAGCUAUGAGCAUGUAGUGAAAUCAGUGGACCUUUUUUCUACUUUUGGUAUUAGCUACUUGUAUAUCAAGUGAAAAGCUUUCUGCAUCUGUAUCGCUACCAUAAAGAGGUGCAUAAUACACACAUACAUUUUGUGUGUGUGUAUUGUGAAAAAUUGUGCAGGACCAUGCUCUAGUUGCUUGCCAUUGCUGAUAUAUGCUCGGUACCAAUAAUCUUCUUUUUGUUUAAUGCUGAUAUAAAUAGAUAUUGUAUAACAUAUACACUGUGGCCACUCCACCAUAUG